This 245-nucleotide long non-coding RNA is filed under the name Prunus persica (peach). RNAcentral describes it as "long non-coding RNA (PPER_LNC000156)". The record is from RNAcentral. Lineage: Eukaryota; Viridiplantae; Streptophyta; Magnoliopsida; Rosales; Rosaceae.
GACGACGAGCGCUAGCGAGGUCUUAAGAAUGUCCCCUAUGGCGUGUCGCAAAGACCCAACCACCUGGAUUUUGCAGAUCGAAGAUUUCUAGGUCCAAGGGCGUGGAAGGUGUCGCACGCUACAGACCGGGGACGAUCGAUCCGAGAGGACAGCGACGAAAGCAACAUCGACUCUACAGUUGCCAGAUGAUGUUGUGGAUGAUAGGUUCCCUACAUUGGAGCCUUACUAGUUGAGCAGCGCAGACU